Molecule: ribosomal RNA, 497 nt
Filed under: uncultured bacterium
Lineage: Bacteria
Description: partial 16S ribosomal RNA
Rfam family: Bacterial small subunit ribosomal RNA
Source: RNAcentral
GAUGAACGCUGGCGGCGUGCCUAAUACAUGCAAGUCGAGCGAACAGACGAGGAGCUUGCUCCUCUGACGUUAGCGGCGGACGGGUGAGUAACACGUGGAUAACCUACCUAUAAGACUGGGAUAACUUCGGGAAACCGGAGCUAAUACCGGAUAAUAUAUUGAACCGCAUGGUUCAAUAGUGAAAGACGGUUUUGCUGUCACUUAUAGAUGGAUCCGCGCCGCAUUAGCUAGUUGGUAAGGUAACGGCUUACCAAGGCAACGAUGCGUAGCCGACCUGAGAGGGUGAUCGGCCACACUGGAACUGAGACACGGCCCAGACUCCUACGGGAGGCAGCAGUAGGGAAUCUUCCGCAAUGGACGAAAGCCUGACGGAGCAACGCCGCGUGAGUGAUGAAGGUCUUCGGAUCGUAAAACUCUGUUAUUAGGGAAGAACAAAUGUGUAAGUAACUAUGCACGUCUUGACGGUACCUAAUCAGAAAGCCACGGCUAACUACGUG